GACGAACGCUGGUGGCGUGCUUAACACAUGCAAGUCGAACGGAAAGGCCCUGCUUUUGUGGGGUGCUCGAGUGGCGAACGGGUGAGUAACACGUGAGUAACCUGCCCUUGACUUUGGGAUAACUUCAGGAAACUGGGGCUAAUACCGGAUAGGAGCUCCUGCUGCAUGGUGGGGGUUGGAAAGUUUCGGCGGUUGGGGAUGGACUCGCGGCUUAUCAGCUUGUUGGUGGGGUAGUGGCUUACCAAGGCUUUGACGGGUAGCCGGCCUGAGAGGGUGACCGGCCACAUUGGGACUGAGAUACGGCCCAGACUCCUACGGGAGGCAGCAGUGGGGAAUAUUGCACAAUGGGCGGAAGCCUGAUGCAGCAACGCCGCGUGCGGGAUGACGGCCUUCGGGUUGUAACCCGCUUUCGCCUGUGACGAAGCGUGAGUGACGGUAAUGGGUAAAGAAGCACCGGCUAACUACGUGCCAGCAGCCGCGGUGAUACGUAGGGUGCGAGCGUUGUCCGGAUUUAUUGGGCGUAAAGGGCUCGUAGGUGGUUGAUCGCGUCGGAAGUGUAAUCUUGGGGCUUAACCCUGAGCGUGCUUUCGAUACGGGUUGACUUGAGGAAGGUAGGGGAGAAUGGAAUUCCUGGUGGAGCGGUGGAAUGCGCAGAUAUCAGGAGGAACACCAGUGGCGAAGGCGGUUCUCUGGGCCUUUCCUGACGCUGAGGAGCGAAAGCGUGGGGAGCGAACAGGCUUAGAUACCCUGGUAGUCCACGCUGUAAACGGUGGGUACUAGGUGUGGGGUCCAUUCCACGGGUUCCGUGCCGUAGCUAACGCUUUAAGUACCCCGCCUGGGGAGUACGGCCGCAAGGCUAAAACUCAAAGGAAUUGACGGGGCCCCGCACAAGCGGCGGAGCAUGCGGAUUAAUUCGAUGCAACGCGUAGAACCUUACCUGGGUUUGACAUGGAUCGGGAGCGCUCAGAGAUGGGUGUGCCUCUUUUGGGGUCGGUUCACAGGUGGUGCAUGGCUGUCGUCAGCUCGUGUCGUGAGAUGUUGGGUUAAGUCCCGCAACGAGCGCAACCCUUGUUCACUGUUGCCAGCACGUUAUGGUGGGGACUCAGUGGAGACCGCCGGGGUCGACUCGGAGGAAGGUGGGGAUGACGUCAAGUCAUCAUGCCCCUUAUGUCCAGGGCUUCACGCAUGCUACAAUGGCUGGUACAGAGAGUGGCGAGCCUGUGAGGGUGAGCGAAUCUCGGAAAGCCGGUCUCAGUUCGGAUUGGGGUCUGCAACUCGACCUCAUGAAGUCGGAGUCGCUAGUAAUCGCAGAUCAGCAACGCUGCGGUGAAUACGUUCCCGGG
This 1343-nucleotide ribosomal RNA is filed under the name uncultured bacterium. RNAcentral's name for it is "16S ribosomal RNA". It matches the Rfam family "Bacterial small subunit ribosomal RNA", at positions 28 to 1378 of the family's 1533-position model. The record is from RNAcentral.